AGAGUUUGAUCAUGGCUCAGAUUGGACGCUGGCGGCAGGCCUAACACAUGCAAGUCGAACGGUAACAGGAAACAGCUUGCUGUUUCGCUGACGAGUGGCGGACGGGUGAGUAAUGUCUGGGAAACUGCCUGAUGGAGGGGGAUAACUACUGGAAACGGUAGCUAAUACCGCAUAACGUCGCAAGACCAAGAGGGGGACCUUCGGGCCUCUUGCCAUCAGAUGUGCCCAGAUGGGAUUAGCUAGUAGGUGGGGUAACGGCUCACCUAGGCGACGAUCCCUAGCUGGUCUGAGAGGAUGACCAGCCACACUGGAACUGAGACACGGUCCAGACUCCUACGGGAGGCAGCAGUGGGGAAUAUUGCACAAUGGGCGCAAGCCUGAUGCAGCCAUGCCGCGUGUAUGAAGAAGGCCUUCGGGUUGUAAAGUACUUUCAGCGGGGAGGAAGGGAGUAAAGUUAAUACCUUUGCUCAUUGACGUUACCCGCAGAAGAAGCACCGGCUAACUCCGUGCCAGCAGCCGCGGUAAUACGGAGGGUGCAAGCGUUAAUCGGAAUUACUGGGCGUAAAGCGCACGCAGGCGGUUUGUUAAGUCAGAUGUGAAAUCCCCGGGCUCAACCUGGGAACUGCAUCUGAUACUGGCAAGCUUGAGUCUCGUAGAGGGGGGUAGAAUUCCAGGUGUAGCGGUGAAAUGCGUAGAGAUCUGGAGGAAUACCGGUGGCGAAGGCGGCCCCCUGGACGAAGACUGACGCUCAGGUGCGAAAGCGUGGGGAGCAAACAGGAUUAGAUACCCUGGUAGUCCACGCCGUAAACGAUGUCGACUUGGAGGUUGUGCCCUUGAGGCGUGGCUUCCGGAGCUAACGCGUUAAGUCGACCGCCUGGGGAGUACGGCCGCAAGGUUAAAACUCAAAUGUAUUGACGGGGGCCCGCACAAGCGGUGGAGCAUGUGGUUUAAUUCGAUGCAACGCGAAGAACCUUACCUGGUCUUGACAUCCACGGAAGUUUUCAGAGAUGAGAAUGUGCCUUCGGGAACCGUGAGACAGGUGCUGCAUGGCUGUCGUCAGCUCGUGUUGUGAAAUGUUGGGUUAAGUCCCGCAACGAGCGCAACCCUUAUCCUUUGUUGCCAGCGGUCCGGCCGGGAACUCAAAGGAGACUGCCAGUGAUAAACUGGAGGAAGGUGGGGAUGACGUCAAGUCAUCAUGGCCCUUACGACCAGGGCUACACACGUGCUACAAUGGCGCAUACAAAGAGAAGCGACCUCGCGAGAGCAAGCGGACCUCAUAAAGUGCGUCGUAGUCCGGAUUGGAGUCUGCAACUCGACUCCAUGAAGUCGGAAUCGCUAGUAAUCGUGGAUCAGAAUGCCACGGUGAAUACGUUCCCGGGCCUUGUACACACCGUCCGUCACACCAUGGGAGUGGGUUGCAAAAGAAGUAGGUAGCUUAACCUUCGGGAGGGCGCUUACCACUUUGUGAUUCAUGACUGGGGUGAAGUCGUAACAAGGUAACCGUAGGGGAACCUGCGGUUG
This 1521-nucleotide ribosomal RNA is filed under the name metagenome. RNAcentral's name for it is "bacterial SSU rRNA". It matches the Rfam family "Bacterial small subunit ribosomal RNA". The record is from RNAcentral.